CCUACGGGAGGCAGCAGUGGGGAAUAUUGCACAAUGGGGGAAACCCUGAUGCAGCGACGCCGCGUGAGUGAAGAAGUAUUUCGGUAUGUAAAGCUCUAUCAGCAGGGAAGAAAAUGACGGUACCUGAGUAAGAAGCCCCGGCUAACUACGUGCCAGCAGCCGCGGUAAUACGUAGGGGGCAAGCGUUAUCCGGAUUUACUGGGGGUAAAGGGAGCGUAGACGGUGAUGCAAGUCAGAAGUGAAAGACCGGGGCUCAACUCCGGGACUGCUUUUGAAACUGGGUGACUGGAGUGCAGGAGAGGGAGGCGGAAUUCCUGGUGUAGCGGUGAAAUGCGUAGAUAUCAGGAGGAACACCAGUGGCGAAGGCGGCCUACUGGACUGUAACUGACGUUGAGGCUCGAAAGCGUGGGGAGCAAACAGGAUUAGAUACCCCAGUAGUC
RNAcentral lists this ribosomal RNA (440 nucleotides) under uncultured bacterium. RNAcentral's name for it is "partial 16S ribosomal RNA". It matches the Rfam family "Bacterial small subunit ribosomal RNA", at positions 338 to 795 of the family's 1533-position model. The record is from RNAcentral.